GUAGGGAAGGUAGAAGCAGUUGUGAAGGCAUUAAACGCAGAUAAAACUUUGGAGGAAACUAAGGGGACUAAUUGGAACACAGUGUUGUCUAAAAAAGAAGGCAACAUCUCGAUUGUCUUCUCCAAAUUUUAACAGAACACAAUCUGAUGGUCGAGCAGCAGGUGUUAAGGAAAUCCUUAGCAAGAAUCUGUAUGAUGUUUUGAUGAUUGAUGAAAAAAGUAUACCUGCUAAGAUGGAGAAUAAAUCACAGAAUAAGGAGGGACAGCCUGUCAUUGC
This 276-nucleotide long non-coding RNA is filed under the name Nicotiana benthamiana. RNAcentral's name for it is "long non-coding RNA (NBEN_LNC001560)". The record is from RNAcentral. Lineage: Eukaryota; Viridiplantae; Streptophyta; Magnoliopsida; Solanales; Solanaceae.